UGAUGUCAUACAGAAAACGUCCCGGUAGACGGAACAGAUAUGACGGCUGGUUACACAAAGGAAAGGGGGUUGGGCUUGAAUGAAAGAGCGGGAAAAUUUAGGAACAGAGAAACAGCAGCUAUGCUAUCGUAAAUACAUUAUCUUAUGCAUUCUAAAUUACCGCCCAUUUGGAAAAGGAAAAUGCAAUAAAUAUUUACUCUGAGCUGCGCUUCGGUAGAUUGGUCGUAGAUGCUGGCCGGGUUGGCCAACAGAUCUCCCUGUUUUCGGAAGAAUGUCAAUGGUGGUCCAUUGGAUACGUGGUGGUAUCUUCGUCUGGUUGUUAGACUGGAUCCGUCGUCCGUCCUUUCCUAACCCACGUUAGCAGCGGCCGCUGCUAACUCAACGGCUAGGAAGUAGCACUUCUGUAGUGAAUAAGCUCAAAGUUCAUACCAGUUCAUACCAGAGCUCACGCCGAGGUUGGCUUAGUUCUGUACUUGACAUGUGUGUCCUUCUAACGUAGAGGCUGCAGACCUCCCGUACUGGAACCAACCUGGUUAUCUUUUCGUCAAAGGAUUAUAUAGUAGAGAGGGGGAGGGAGGUGUUUCAUCGUUUAUAACCGCUGUCUCUUCACAGGGUUGGGCCACUGAUCGAGCAGGGCACUUUCCUUAUGAAAACCCAAUUCUCUCGUUUGGAAGCUAAAAUUACAUUUCAUCUCCUAACAAACAUUUUCAAUAUCAAACAUUUCAAUUGCAUAACAAUUCCAUGUGACUCUGAUAACUAGAGGGUGGAUACUUUCCCAGGUACAGUUUAUGUCAUCCUGUCAUCAAUCAUAAUGUCUCAGAUGACAACUGAAAUGAAAUCCAUACUCAUUACGUUAUCAAGCAUAUUUCCAACUGGUUUUAUUAACAAAAUAUGGUUCCUUUUCCCCAUUUGUUUGAUGUUCCCAGACUCUCUAUAUUUAACACAGGCUAUUCACGUCCUUCAGUAGAUUCAGAGGGGAAGAGAGAAAGAUUUUCCCAAAAGAAAGCCCUGCCCAGUGUUCAAUAACAUGAAUACAUAGUCAGAUUGUGUCAUUAUACUGCGUACAUUGAGAUCUUUCAUCUGACUAACAACUGUGAACAUUUCACCAGUGCAAAAGGAUUCCACAGAUGAUCCCUUACUGUCAAUGGAAAAUCAAGGGGAGUUUGAAAUCACAACAGAAAGCACACUACAUGGAAUGAGCAAAGAGAGUGGCCUGACAACUUUAGGUCCAUAUCCAUCCCAGUCACCGGGUGACAGUGAAAAGAAGGGGGAAUUCAUCACACCUAUCCUUCCCAGCACAACAGAAGAAACAGAGAAGAUUUUCCCAAAAGAAAGCCCUGCCCAGUGUUCAAUAACAUGAAUACAUAGUCAGAUUGUGUCAUUAUAAUGAUUGGCCAACCAUCUUAGUGUCUGAGCACUUGUCAUCACUGCGUACAUUGAGAUCUUUCGUCUGACUAACAACUGUGAACAUUUCACCAGUGCAAAAGGACCUUUCCUAAAUCCACAAAGAUUGAGACUGUAGAUUUGUAAGCACGGAGUGUUUGUAUAAACUGUGAAGUGAAGUGUAUCGCUGGUGAGGAGCAGUCUACCCUUAACCUGACCAGCAUAACAUGAGGAGGGACUUCGCUUCGUCGCGCAAUGAUGAUGUCAUUUGUCCAAUGUCACUCGUCCAAUGCCACUUCUAUGACCAGAAUCGUUUCUUAUACUUAGUCCAAGUACCUAAAAGAUGAACAAUACAUAGGUAAAGCUAAGUUAAAUCAAGACAGUGUAUUAUAUAACGAUUAUUCGACUAAUAAAUUCUUCCAUCAGAUGUCAGUGUUAUUUUAGCGUUGACUUUGCAUAAACUAAUUUAUUUAUUAAAGAAGUUCAAAAUGUUACAUUGGACCUAAGCUAUAGUAUAGCUUCUCUCUGUUGCUUCAGUAUUCCAACACUUUUUACCUCCUCGUAAUUUGUUCAACCAUAUUCUAAUGUUUUCAGUGUAUCGCUGCUUAUCAAUUCCUCAACCAAACGUUAUUUAUUGAAAACAUGGAAAUAGAUUGUAUUUUGUUCCUUUUCUGUAUUAGUUACUACUUUUUCCAAUGAAAUGUGUUUCCAUCAUAUUUUUCAGAAUAUAUAGUAUUCAAACCUGUUUUCACUGGUGAAAUUUUGGCAGUCUAAAGUUCUCCCUUUGUAUUUAACCUCUCUGUGUGCAUGUAAGUAAAUGUUCAAAUGAUCAAAA
RNAcentral lists this long non-coding RNA (2218 nucleotides) under Salmo salar (Atlantic salmon). Its description in RNAcentral is "lncRNA (ENSSSAG00000107711.1)". Lineage: Eukaryota; Metazoa; Chordata; Actinopteri; Salmoniformes; Salmonidae. The record is from RNAcentral.